RNAcentral lists this ribosomal RNA (1368 nucleotides) under unidentified marine bacterioplankton. RNAcentral's name for it is "bacterial SSU rRNA". It matches the Rfam family "Bacterial small subunit ribosomal RNA", at positions 9 to 1371 of the family's 1533-position model. The record is from RNAcentral.
GAGUUUGAUCAUGGCUCAGAUUGAACGCUGGCGGCAUGCCUUACACAUGCAAGUCGAACGGCAGCAUGAUCUAGCUUGCUAGAUUGAUGGCGAGUGGCGAACGGGUGAGUAAUACAUCGGAACGUGCCCUGUAGUGGGGGAUAACUAGUCGAAAGAUUAGCUAAUACCGCAUACGACCUGAGGGUGAAAGUGGGGGACCGCAAGGCCUCAUGCUAUAGGAGCGGCCGAUGUCUGAUUAGCUAGUUGGUGGGGUAAAGGCCCACCAAGGCGACGAUCAGUAGCUGGUCUGAGAGGACGAUCAGCCACACUGGGACUGAGACACGGCCCAGACUCCUACGGGAGGCAGCAGUGGGGAAUUUUGGACAAUGGGGGCAACCCUGAUCCAGCAAUGCCGCGUGUGUGAAGAAGGCCUUCGGGUUGUAAAGCACUUUUGUCCGGAAAGAAAUCGCACUUACUAAUAUUAGGUGUGGAUGACGGUACCGGAAGAAUAAGGACCGGCUAACUACGUGCCAGCAGCCGCGGUAAUACGUAGGGUCCAAGCGUUAAUCGGAAUUACUGGGCGUAAAGCGUGCGCAGGCGGUUGUGCAAGACCGAUGUGAAAUCCCCGGGCUUAACCUGGGAAUUGCAUUGGUGACUGCACGGCUAGAGUGUGUCAGAGGGGGGUAGAAUUCCACGUGUAGCAGUGAAAUGCGUAGAGAUGUGGAGGAAUACCGAUGGCGAAGGCAGCCCCCUGGGAUAACACUGACGCUCAUGCACGAAAGCGUGGGGAGCAAACAGGAUUAGAUACCCUGGUAGUCCACGCCCUAAACGAUGUCAACUAGUUGUUGGGGAUUCAUUUCCUUAGUAACGUAGCUAACGCGUGAAGUUGACCGCCUGGGGAGUACGGUCGCAAGAUUAAAACUCAAAGGAAUUGACGGGGACCCGCACAAGCGGUGGAUGAUGUGGAUUAAUUCGAUGCAACGCGAAAAACCUUACCUACCCUUGACAUGCCACUAACGAAGCAGAGAUGCAUUAGGUGCUCGAAAGAGAAAGUGGACACAGGUGCUGCAUGGCUGUCGUCAGCUCGUGUCGUGAGAUGUUGGGUUAAGUCCCGCAACGAGCGCAACCCUUGUCUCUAGUUGCUACGAAAGGGCACUCUAGAGAGACUGCCGGUGACAAACCGGAGGAAGGUGGGGAUGACGUCAAGUCCUCAUGGCCCUUAUGGGUAGGGCUUCACACGUCAUACAAUGGUGCAUACAGGGGGUUGCCAAGCCGCGAGGUGGAGCUAAUCCCAGAAAAUGCAUCGUAGUCCGGAUCGUAGUCUGCAACUCGACUACGUGAAGCUGGAAUCGCUAGUAAUCGCGGAUCAGCAUGCCGCGGUGAAUACGU